GUGGGAAAGGUCUCCAUGUGCUCAGAGUGGAAGAGAUGGGCCCAGGGUCUGCAGGGGCAGAGCCCGACACGCCCCACCAGGUCUACAAAGUAAGCCAAGAUGCCAUUCAAGGUGGGCAAAUGCCAGGUCAGAAAGCAUUUACGUAUCUGUGACUUUGUUCUUAAGGUCAUCUCUCUGCUGUGCGGAGAACAGAGGGCAGGUAAAAGCAAGGAGACCAGUCACGUCUCUGUGCAUGUCCAGCAGAGGGAGGGCAGACCUGGGGCUUGGGAUCCACCCUCAGGACCAAUGGUCACACUUCCUGCUCAAAGAAGAGGAGGAGAGAUGGGCGAGUAGGCAAGGCAACUUCCAGGAUUCCGGCUUGAGCCCCUGGCUGAGUGGUGACAGUGACAUGUACAGAAACAGGAAGAACCGGGGAGAGAAAGCACUGGGCUGGGACUGUUAAGUACUGGGUUUGAGCUACUUGAGAUAUUCAAGUCCGCAACCGAAGAUCGUACCUGGCCUUAGAGAAGUGUGUGACCAGAAGUCAUCAGAGCCAGGGGUGGAGGAGCCCACCGGUACGGGAGGGGACAAUCUGCAAAGGGGCCAUGAAGUCGGUGAGAGAGAGAGAGAGGCGGGGAGAGAGAGCCCUGUCACUAAGAGGAGAGGCGGCUGCGGAGGAGGAAGUGGCCGGCUUUGUUGAAAGCUUCUGCAAAGUAGAGAAAGAUAAGAAGAGAAAGUGGUAGAUUGAGAGGGGCCACCCAGAGGUUAGGGCUAGCGAGGCUGGAGGGGACAAUGGGGCAGAAGACGGGUGGCUGUGAGGGGAGGACGCACCACCUCCUUGCCCAGGCUGUGCCCCUCGGGUCCAGCUUCCCUGGCCCUCCCUAGCACCCUGCUCCUCAAAGCCGGAGUGCCACCUGGCCGGAUCUGCACCCCUCCCCAGCUCUGCCCCCACUCGUUCCUGGGUCCAUAGCUCCCCUUGACUGUGAGCUACUCAAGGGCAAGGACAGGUGCCGUCACUGUGCACCACAGCCGGGUUCCUGUAGAUGUGUGAUGUGUAACUAACACUCGAGUCACCUCAAGAGGACACCACAAGCAACACCAGCGCCCGUUGCUGUUCCAGGCCGUGGUCUGGGCGCAUCCAGCGUGCUGGAGGGCCACAAGGAGCGUCGCUCGGGCAGAGGAUCCUCGGUGGAGGACAGCGGGGUGUCCAGCACCGGGCAGGUUCCCACGCCCAGAGCCCUUCCAGCUGUCAGCCUGGAUGCUGGGUCCUCCUGCCCAACUCCUGGGCUCUCUCCUGGGCCUCCUGCACCCCUCCCCAGGACCUGAGGCCACACGGCCUGUACCCACAGCCCUGGUGAGCAACUUCCUGUUUGCCUACAGAGGAAGCUGCUCAGCAGGUUGGUGGCCAGGUGGCUUCCCAUACCCUGAGCCAGGAGGGGAAGCGGCCACCUUCUAAGAAGGAACCCUGGGUAUUUCAGCAGAGUCUGGCCCUCCUGGGAGGCAGAGGGGAGAGAGCAGAGGGCAGCAGAGGAAGGGACAUGGGCACUUGACUCACACCGCCCUUUCCUGAGGCCCUGCGUGCUGACCGACAGGCCCUCCACAGCACCUGACCAGACUCUAGGGGUGUGUGGGGGAGGGGUGUCUGAACCUACACCACAGACAGGGGAGGAGACGAAAGGUCACAGCUGUCACUCACGCUCACAGGCAGUCGGUGGAGAAGCCUGGAUGUAAACCAGGGAGCUGACCCCAGCAAGCACACCCUCCGCUCUUCCCUGGCCACCCACGUGCCUCAGGGGGGUGAGCCAAGGCCGCCCUCCUCUUAAGCCAGCAGAGAUGCUAGGGUGGGGUGAAGCCAUUCCUCUCAACUCGGGCUUACUGUAGCGCUCAAGCUGAUGGAAUACUGUCCUUCUGGGGGGACCAGCCACCUGGCAGGGUGAGAAGGAGGCCUGGAGCAACUCAGAGGUUCCAGGACCCCUGAAUUUGACACUGUGAACGUUUGUCCCCUUGGGGAAGCCUGGGGGUAAGGCAGCCAGGGGCUUCUCUCUUCAGCUCUGCGCCUCUGCCAGGCCAGGCCCCAGCAAGGCCAGACAGGACGCCUGCGCUCCCUCUGCUGAGUUAGACACUUAUCCCCCAUGGGCCUCUGAGGGUGGACCCCAUGGCCAGAGCAGGGAGCUGGAGGUAGGCCUGAGGGGACAAAGGCGCCCCCUCUGGAGGGGAGGUCUUUCAAGGCAGGAGCAGGAGGACAGGGAACAGUCCAGGGGUAAGUCACUGCCCACUUCCCAGCACGAGCCUCUACUACUGUGUCUGCCACUCAACCAGAAGACCCUCUGUGUCUGCAGACAGAGCCUGGACACAGCACCAGGCUCUCACUGCCCCAGCAUGAAGGUUUGCCUGGCCUCCCCUCUGGGCCUCCCCUCUGGGCCUCCCCUCCCGGCCUUUCCCAACACUGUGAGUUUUAAAGAUGGGCACUUGCCAGGCAGCCUCUAGUUGUGGAUCUGCCCUCUCAGGGUUGGGCUCUAGUUAGCUCUCCAUCUCCCAGUCCCCUGGCACCAGAAGUCAUCCACAGAACAGCUCCUGAAACACACGUGUGCGUCAUUACUUACAGUGACAAAAAUGCUCAGCCUUCAAUAUCCACAACAGCGAAUCAGAUAAAUGGUUGGGGGUGGGGGGGCGGCUGUCACAUGGCCACAUGCAGACCCAGGCACCCUCUAGCAACCUCGUUUUUGAGGAGUAUUUAGUGAAGUGGAAAGAUGCUUAUAGCAUAUUAAGUAAUAAAACUAUUUAUAUAUUCAUAUUAUCUCUACUUUUAAAACCUUGUUUAUUUAGGCAAUAAAACAGGAAAACAGCAAUUGAUAAUCUGCAUGGGAACCGAAUACAAAGUUUUCAUUUCUCUAUGGAAAUUUUGCUUGGAAUGUACCUAAUUUGGAAAAAUAAGGCGGCUGGCAGACCCUUUCCAAACCUGUCUCCCCAUUGCUAGUGGAGGCUGAGACACAGGGGUCCAGAGGGUCUGCACAGGUUCUCGCUAAGUUGCCCAGAAUGGCCUUGAACUUGCGGUCCUGCUGCUCAGCCUCCAGGUAGCACCGGCAGUAUUUGCUCUACUUGACCUAAAGCAUCACUGUCUCUCAAGUGGCUGCCAUGGUGACCUGUCAGAUGUAGGUGUGGGAAUCAACUUGGAAGCCCAGAGUUGGCACAAAAACCACCUAAAGGUGAAGACAUUUGAGAUUUGACAGCGACAGAAAGGGUUCUCCUGGAGCUUCUCUUCACGACUCCAAGCAGCAACGUCUGGGGAACAGGCUGCCCUAAAAUCCUUGUCAGGAGUAGCUGUUCCCAGAAGGGAGAAGAGAAGUGAAGGCCACCCCAGACCCUUCCCUGUGACGGCUUUGUAGCCCUGAAGGCCAUGGUGAGAUCAUGUCUGCACAAACGUUGCCCAUAACUUUGUCUCUCAUCUGUUCUCCUAAAAACCCAUCCCGUUUUCCUACGGAAACCUAUUUGUCUUCCCACAGAAGGCUUUUCUGCCCCUAUUAAUGUGUCUUUUGUCAGUUAAUUCACAGGUCCCAGCUACUAAGUCUAAGAGGGUAGAGGAGAGGGGGUUUCCCCCUGCCCAGGGUGGGGAGGAGGAAGCCCUGCCCCAGCGCCCCCUCCACAGAGGGAAAGCUCUGUCUGUCUGUCUGUCUGUCUGGGGGGUAACAUGCGCACUGCACAGGUGCUGUACUUAACAACGUGAACCGGGCAAAAU
This is a long non-coding RNA of Marmota flaviventris (yellow-bellied marmot), 3715 nucleotides long. RefSeq lists it as uncharacterized. NCBI's taxonomy places the organism in Eukaryota, Metazoa, Chordata, Mammalia, Rodentia, Sciuridae. The record is from RefSeq and is a predicted model, not a curated record.